GAUGAACGCUGGCGGCGUGCCUAAUACAUGCAAGUCGAGCGAACAGACGAGGAGCUUGCUCCUCUGACGUUAGCGGCGGACGGGUGAGUAACACGUGGAUAACCUACCUAUAAGACUGGGAUAACUUCGGGAAACCGGAGCUAAUACCGGAUAAUAUAUUGAACCGCAUGGUUCAAUAGUGAAAGACGGUUUUGCUGUCUCUUAUAGAUGGAUCCGCGCCGCAUUAGCUAGUUGGUAAGGUAACGGCUUACCAAGGCAACGAUGCGUAGCCGACCUGAGAGGGUGAUCGGCCACCCUGGAACUGAGACACGGUCCAGACUCCUACGGGAGGCAGCAGUAGGGAAUCUUCCGCAAUGGGCGAAAGCCUGACGGAGCAACGCCGCGUGAGUGAUGAAGGUCUUCGGAUCGUAAAACUCUGUUAUUAGGGAAGAACAAAUGUGUAAGUAACUAUGCACGUCUUGACGGUACCUAAUCAGAAAGCCACGGCUAACUACGUG
RNAcentral lists this ribosomal RNA (497 nucleotides) under uncultured bacterium. RNAcentral describes it as "partial 16S ribosomal RNA". It matches the Rfam family "Bacterial small subunit ribosomal RNA", at positions 28 to 507 of the family's 1533-position model. The record is from RNAcentral.